GCCCUUGUAGCUCAAUGGUAGAGCUUCGGCCUGUCAAGCCAAAGGCCAGUGGUUCGAUCCCCGUGCGGGACA
Molecule: transfer RNA, 72 nt
Organism: Phytophthora infestans T30-4
Lineage: Eukaryota; Oomycota; Peronosporomycetes; Peronosporales; Peronosporaceae
Rfam family: tRNA
About the family: Transfer RNA (tRNA) molecules are approximately 80 nucleotides in length. Their secondary structure includes four short double-helical elements and three loops (D, anti-codon, and T loops).
Source: Rfam